This 73-nucleotide transfer RNA is filed under the name Lachnospiraceae bacterium. RNAcentral's name for it is "tRNA-Arg". It matches the Rfam family "tRNA". Rfam says of the family: Transfer RNA (tRNA) molecules are approximately 80 nucleotides in length. Their secondary structure includes four short double-helical elements and three loops (D, anti-codon, and T loops). The record is from RNAcentral. Lineage: Bacteria; Bacillati; Bacillota; Clostridia; Lachnospirales; Lachnospiraceae.
GCACCCGUAGCUCAGGGGAUAGAGCGGCGGCUUCCGGAGCCGCGCGUCGGGGGUUCGAAUCCUCUCGGGUGUA